This 1434-nucleotide long non-coding RNA is filed under the name Mus musculus (house mouse). RNAcentral's name for it is "RIKEN cDNA 6030466F02 gene". The record is from RNAcentral. Lineage: Eukaryota; Metazoa; Chordata; Mammalia; Rodentia; Muridae.
GACCAAGGACUGAGACUAGAGAAGGCUGGGAGGAUCCUCCCUGCCUCCAGGCUAAGAGGACUGGACGUGGCUCUUCUGGCUUCUGGAUUUGCGUGCUUUCCUAUCCUGGCGCAGUGACUCUUGUGUCUUGUCAAAACUCCCAAGCAGAAAUCCUAGUUCCACGAAGUAGUGUUAGGAGAGGGAGGGGGUGACGAGGUAGUAGGUGCAGCCUUGUGGAUGCGUUAGUGUCUUUAUAAAAGACCCCAGAAAGCUGCUACCCCUUUAGCCAGGUGAAGAGGUCACCGGUUAGCCAGAAACUGGCCUUGAGUAGACAGAUUUACCAGUGCCUUUGCACCCUGGACCACAGGCAUCACAUUCUGUCUUUAUAAACUACCAAGCCUCAGGCUUCUUGUUGCAGCAACACGAAAGGGUUGGCGGCAAUUUGGUGAGAAGAUGCCAGCUUUUCCCUGUGACACUGAACUAUCCCUCUGAUGUGACUGUCUACAUUCCACUGUCCUGUAAGGACACUUGUCAUAGCUCACAGGAUCGUCCAAGCGGAGGAAGGCGGCCUUGCAGCUCAGAGGUCAGAGAAAGUGGCUGUGGCUGAGAAAGCCCGCUCACUCACCACAGCCAGGGCUAAGCCACAGCAGGACUCACCUGGACACCUCACCCAGCCCCGUGAGAGCGUGAGAUGGGGAAGGCUCACCCUGCCCAGGGUGGAAGAGUCAGUAUGCGGUCUGCUGUCUUUCAAGCACAAUCAUGGAUCCAGGAGAGCUCCAGGCUGCCCGUUGUUCACAGUCUGUUUCAAGGCAUCAUUGAUCCACAAAGCUGUUUGUGGCUGAUUCCCUAGGCCCCAGGUUUCACCUGCCUAGCAUCCCAGGACACAUGUACUUCUGGCUUUCCUGAGUUCCCUGGGCCUUGGUGAUGUAAUUUUAUGGGUUUUCCAAAUGUGAACCGGGCUCCGAGAGGGGAAACACACCUCCACCCGAUCUCCACGGGUCAUUCAGGUUCCCUGGCUCUCUGCUUCUGGAGGAACCCUUCAAAUGCCACGGCGGAUGAGACAAAUAUAGCUGCCUGGGGUAGAGGGGCCAAGGCCUUUGGUAUGUUAAGGCCAGGACCGCACAGGAGAGAGAGAGAGAGAAGGGAUAAACAGGAACUCUCCUGCUCAGAGCCCCAUUCUAGCCUGCUGCCUCGGCCAGGCAGCCCUUAAGAGCCCACGAUAGCUUCUGUACACCCUGUUCUCCUAUUACUGUCCUUCCCAGAGCCAGACCUGAGCUAGGAAUUUGUCCUAUGAGGAGAGAGGGGGCAGCCAGCCGGUAGGGAACCCCAGCCUUGAAAUAAGCCCCUUUGUGUGGCUGCUGAGGGCAGAGCAUAGGAGGGAGAGAGACAUCCCCAGGCUGGUCUGGAACUCCACAUUUAAACAUUCGGAGUGUUUUUAAAUAAAAUCAUUCACAC